GGAUGUGAAGGCCAUCUGGCUGCAACAUCUGUUACUCUCUGAUUGUCAGGGUUAAUUCAGCUGAUCUGGCUGGCAAGGCAGGUGACUCCUUCCUCCUAUAUCAUUCCAUGUGUGCCCCUCUUGAAGCUGUGCACGCAGAAGGAGAGGGUGGCCUUCCUCCAUAAACUGACAGAUCUUCAGCUGGGGUAUGCAAGUUAGCUGCUAUCCUCUGCUUGAACCUUCAAAUAGGCUCUCAAAUAGAACAUGCUAUUGCUUAGACACUAUUGCCAUUCUCCUAAAAACAUUCUUGUAAAAAUUAUACAUACAGCUAGUAAUUGUAUAAAUUA
This 326-nucleotide small nuclear RNA is filed under the name Sorex araneus (European shrew). RNAcentral describes it as "7SK RNA (ENSSARG00000017801.1)". It matches the Rfam family "7SK RNA". From Rfam's summary of the family: 7SK was discovered as an abundant small nuclear RNA in the mid-70s but a possible function has only recently been suggested. The record is from RNAcentral. Lineage: Eukaryota; Metazoa; Chordata; Mammalia; Eulipotyphla; Soricidae.